GACAGAGGGUGCAAACGUUGCUCGGAAUUACUGGGCGUAAAGCGCGUGUAGGUGGAUUGGUGUGUCAGAUGUGAAAUCCCUGGGCUCAACCCAGGAACUGCACCUGAAACUACCAGUCUUGAGUGGUGGAGAGGGAAGUGGAAUUCCUGGUGUAGAGGUGAAAUUCGUAGAUAUCAGGAGGAACACCGGUGGCGAAGGCGGUUCUCUGGGCAUUACCUGACGCUGAGGAGCGAAAGUGUGGGGAGCGAACAGG
Molecule: ribosomal RNA, 253 nt
Filed under: uncultured bacterium
Lineage: Bacteria
Description: partial 16S ribosomal RNA
Rfam family: Bacterial small subunit ribosomal RNA
Source: RNAcentral